This 1016-nucleotide long non-coding RNA is filed under the name Parus major (Great Tit). RNAcentral's name for it is "lncRNA (ENSPMJG00000002411.1)". Lineage: Eukaryota; Metazoa; Chordata; Aves; Passeriformes; Paridae. The record is from RNAcentral.
CAUUCCCAGUCCCCAGUCCCCAUUCCCAGUUCCCAGUCCCCAUUCCCAUUUCCCAGUCCCCAAUCCCCAAUUCCCAGUCCCCCUUUCCCAGUUCCCCAUUCCCAGUUCCCAAUUCCCAGUCCCCAGUUCCCAUUUCCCAGUUCCCAGUCCCCAUUCCCAGUCCCCAUUCCCAGUCCCCAUUCCCAGUUCCCCAUUCCCAGUUCCCCAUUCCCAGUUCCCCAGUCCCAGUUCCCCAGUCCCCAUUCCCAGUUCCCAUUCCCAGUCCCCAGUCCCAGUUCCCAGUCCCCAUUUCCCAGUUCCCCAUUCCCAGUUCCCAUCCCCCAUUCCCAGUUCCCAUUCCCAGUCCCCAGUCCCCAUUUCCCAGUCCCCAUUCCCAUUUCCCAGUUCCCAUUCCCAGUCCCCAUUCCCAGUCCCCAUUCCCAUUCCCAGUUCCCAGUCCCCAUUCCCAGUUCCCAGUCCCCAUUUCCCAGUCCCCAUUCCCAUUUCCCAGUUCCCAUUCCCAGUUCCCAGUCCCAGUUCCCAGUCCCCAUUUCCCAGUUCCCCAUUCCCAGUUCCCAUCCCCCAUUCCCAGUUCCCAGUCCCAGUCCCCAGUCCCCAUUCCCAGUCCCCAAUCCCCAAUUCCCAGUCCCCCUUUCCCAGUUCCCCAUUCCCAGUUUCCCAGUCCCCAUUCCCAGUUCCCAUUCCCAGUUCCCAUCCCCCAUUCCCAGUUCCCAUUCCCAGUUCCCAUCCCCCAUUCCCAGUUCCCAUUCCCAGUUCCCAGUCCCCAUUCCCAUUCCCAUUUCCCAGUUCCCAUUCCCCAUUCCCAGUUCCCAUCCCCCAUUCCCAGUUCCCAUCCCCCAUUCCCAGUCCCCCGUUGGAUCAGGAAUCACUCCCAGCCCGGGAUCCCCUCCUCAAUUCCCAACUCCCGCUCUCAUUUUCCCUUUUCUCCCUUUUUUCUCCUCAUUUUGGCCCCUCCGGGGGGACAAAGCUCCGGCCCCACCCCCAAUCCCAAAAAAACCUGGAAUUCCCGGCGGGAA